This 497-nucleotide ribosomal RNA is filed under the name uncultured bacterium. RNAcentral describes it as "partial 16S ribosomal RNA". It matches the Rfam family "Bacterial small subunit ribosomal RNA", at positions 28 to 507 of the family's 1533-position model. The record is from RNAcentral.
GAUGAACGCUGGCGGCGUGCUUAACACAUGCAAGUCGAACGGAAAGACGCGGAGCUUGCUGCUUGCACGUUUGGGGCGGGCGGGUGAGUCACAUGAGGAUACCCCCCCUGUAAGUGUGGGAUCACUACGGGAAACGGGAUAUAACACGGGAGGAUAUAUUGAAGCGCGGGGGUCGAUAGUGAGUGACGGCUUUGGUGGAACUAAUCGCUGGUUACCAGCUGGUUUAGCUAGUUGGUAGGGUCACGGCGUUCCAAGGCUAGCAUGCGUAGCCGACCUGAGAGGAUGAUAGGCCACACUGGAACUGAGACACGGUCCAGACUACUACGGGAGGCAGCAGUAGGGAAUGUGAGGCAAUGGGCGAAAGCCUGACGCAGCAACGCGGCGUGAGUGAUGAAGGUCUUCGGAUCGUAAAACGCUGUUAUGAGGGAAGAACAAAUUUGGAAUGAACUAUGCAGGGCGUGACGGUACCGGAUCAAAAAGCAACGGCUAACUACGUG